UACGAGUGGCCCGAGCGUUAAUCGGAAUCACUGGGCUUAAAGGGUGCGUAGGCGGGUCGUUAAGUGUCUUGUGAAAUCCCCCGGCUCAACCGGGGAACCGCAGGGCAUACUGGCGAUCUUGAGGAAGCUAGAGGCGGGUGGAACGAUAGGUGGAGCGGUGGAAUGCGUAGAUAUCUAUCGGAACGCCGAAGGUGAAGACAGCCCGCUGGGGCUUUCCUGACGCUGAGGCACGAAAGCGUGGGGAGCAAACAGG
RNAcentral lists this ribosomal RNA (253 nucleotides) under uncultured bacterium. RNAcentral describes it as "partial 16S ribosomal RNA". It matches the Rfam family "Bacterial small subunit ribosomal RNA", at positions 524 to 776 of the family's 1533-position model. The record is from RNAcentral.